This 85-nucleotide transfer RNA is filed under the name Felis catus (domestic cat). It matches the Rfam family "tRNA". Rfam says of the family: Transfer RNA (tRNA) molecules are approximately 80 nucleotides in length. Their secondary structure includes four short double-helical elements and three loops (D, anti-codon, and T loops). The record is from Rfam by way of RNAcentral. Lineage: Eukaryota; Metazoa; Chordata; Mammalia; Carnivora; Felidae.
GCCCGGGUGGCUCAGUUGGUUGAGCAUCUGACUUCGGCUCAGGUCAUGAUCUCAUGGUUUGUGGGUUCAAGCCCUGUGUCAGGCU